CCUACGGGCGGCUGCAGUGGGGAAUAUUGGACAAUGGGCGAAAGCCUGAUCCAGCCAUGCCGCGUGUGUGAAGAAGGCCUUCGGGUUGUAAAGCACUUUCAGUGGGGAAGAAAGCCUUGGGGCUAAUACCCUCGAGGAAGGACAUCACCCACAGAAGAAGCACCGGCUAACUCCGUGCCAGCAGCCGCGGUAGUACGGAGGGUGCGAGCGUUAAUCGGAAUUACUGGGCGUAAAGCGCGCGUAGGCGGUCUGAUAAGCCGGUUGUGAAAGCCCCGGGCUCAACCUGGGAACGGCAUCCGGAACUGUCAGGCUAGAGUGCAGGAGAGGAAGGUAGAAUUCCCGGUGUAGCGGUGAAAUGCGUAGAGAUCGGGAGGAAUACCAGUGGCGAAGGCGGCCUUCUGGACUGACACUGACGCUGAGGUGCGAAAGCGUGGGUAGCAAACAGGAUUAGAUACCCGAGUAGUC
Molecule: ribosomal RNA, 465 nt
Filed under: Vreelandella stevensii
Lineage: Bacteria; Pseudomonadati; Pseudomonadota; Gammaproteobacteria; Oceanospirillales; Halomonadaceae
Description: partial 16S ribosomal RNA
Rfam family: Bacterial small subunit ribosomal RNA
Source: RNAcentral